RNA transcript from Pan troglodytes (chimpanzee), 8740 nucleotides. It is a transcript of the gene named spermatid perinuclear RNA binding protein, with no coding region annotated. The transcript has 19 exons. NCBI's taxonomy places the organism in Eukaryota, Metazoa, Chordata, Mammalia, Primates, Hominidae. The record is from RefSeq and is a predicted model, not a curated record.
GGAGCCGCGAGCGCCACCAGGGCAGCAGCCGCCGCAGCCGCCGCCGCUGGGCAGAGGAGCCGGAGACGCGAGCGGGCGAGGUGGCGGCGGCGGCGGAGCGGGAGCCGGUACCGGGCGCGGGCAGAGCGCGGCGGCGCGGGUGUGUUCCAGAGAACAAGCCUUCAGACAUAUUUGCUAUAUUGACGCUGAGCUGUCAGGGGACUCAGGCUUAUGAGGAGGUAUUGUUACACAAAACAGUGUCUAGUGAAGACGACAAGAAAGAGGGGAAAGGAUCGGAAAAAGAAGCUAAAAUACUAUAGAAAACCAUGAGAUCUAUUCGAUCUUUUGCUAAUGAUGAUCGCCAUGUUAUGGUGAAACAUUCAACAAUCUAUCCAUCUCCGGAGGAACUUGAAGCUGUUCAGAAUAUGGUAUCUACUGUUGAAUGUGCUCUUAAACAUGUCUCAGAUUGGUUGGAUGAAACAAAUAAAGGCACAAAAACAGAGGGUGAGACAGAAGUGAAGAAAGAUGAGGCCGGAGAAAACUAUUCCAAGGAUCAAGGUGGUCGGACAUUGUGUGGUGUAAUGAGGAUUGGCCUGGUUGCAAAAGGCUUGCUGAUUAAAGAUGAUAUGGACUUGGAGCUGGUUUUAAUGUGCAAAGACAAACCCACAGAGACCCUGUUAAAUACAGUCAAAGAUAAUCUUCCUAUUCAGAUUCAGAAACUCACAGAAGAGAAAUAUCAAGUGGAACAAUGUGUAAAUGAGGCAUCUAUUAUAAUUCGGAAUACAAAAGAGCCCACGCUAACUUUGAAGGUGAUACUUACCUCACCUCUAAUUAGGGACGAAUUGGAGAAGAAGGAUGGAGAAAAUGUUUCGAUGAAAGAUCCUCCGGACUUAUUGGACAGGCAGAAAUGCCUGAACGCCUUGGCGUCUCUUCGACAUGCCAAAUGGUUUCAGGCAAGGGCAAAUGGAUUAAAAUCAUGUGUAAUUGUCCUCCGCAUUCUGCGUGAUUUGUGCAACAGAGUCCCCACAUGGGCACCAUUGAAAGGAUGGCCACUAGAACUUAUAUGUGAAAAGUCUAUAGGUACUUGUAAUAGACCUUUGGGCGCUGGGGAGGCCUUGAGACGAGUAAUGGAGUGUUUGGCAUCUGGAAUACUACUUCCUGGGGGUCCUGGUCUUCAUGAUCCUUGUGAGCGAGACCCAACAGAUGCUCUGAGCUAUAUGACCAUCCAGCAAAAAGAAGAUAUUACCCACAGUGCACAGCAUGCACUCAGACUAUCAGCCUUUGGCCAGAUUUACAAAGUGCUGGAGAUGGACCCCCUUCCAUCUAGUAAGCCUUUUCAGAAGUAUUCCUGGUCAGUUACUGAUAAAGAAGGUGCUGGGUCUUCAGCUCUAAAGAGGCCAUUUGAAGAUGGAUUAGGGGAUGAUAAAGACCCCAACAAGAAGAUGAAACGAAACUUAAGGAAAAUUCUGGAUAGUAAAGCAAUAGACCUCAUGAAUGCACUAAUGAGGCUAAAUCAGAUCAGGCCUGGGCUUCAGUAUAAGCUCUUAUCUCAGUCUGGCCCCGUUCAUGCCCCAGUCUUCACAAUGUCUGUAGAUGUGGAUGGCACAACAUAUGAAGCCUCAGGACCAUCCAAGAAAACAGCAAAACUUCACGUAGCGGUGAAGGUAUUGCAGGCAAUGGGAUAUCCAACAGGCUUUGAUGCAGAUAUUGAAUGUAUGAGUUCCGAUGAAAAAUCAGAUAAUGAAAGUAAAAAUGAAACAGUGUCUUCAAACUCAAGCAAUAAUACUGGAAAUUCUACAACUGAAACCUCCAGUACCUUAGAGGUAAGAACUCAGGGCCCUAUCCUCACAGCAAGUGGCAAAAACCCUGUAAUGGAGCUCAAUGAAAAAAGAAGAGGUCUCAAGUAUGAACUCAUCUCAGAGACUGGUGGAAGCCAUGACAAGCGCUUUGUAAUGGAGGUAGAAGUAGAUGGACAGAAAUUCAGAGGCGCAGGUCCAAAUAAGAAAGUGGCAAAGGCGAGUGCAGCUUUAGCUGCCUUGGAGAAACUGUUUUCUGGACCCAAUGCGGCAAAUAAUAAGAAAAAGAAGAUUAUCCCUCAGGCAAAGGGCGUUGUGAAUACAGCUGUGUCUGCAGCAGUCCAAGCUGUUCGGGGCAGAGGAAGAGGAACUCUAACAAGGGGAGCUUUUGUUGGGGCGACAGCUGCUCCUGGCUACAUAGCUCCAGGCUAUGGAACACCAUAUGGUUACAGCACAGCUGCCCCUGCCUAUGAGGCUACGUUAAAGGAAUAUGGUAGCCAUCAUCUGGGAGGUAAAAAACCUAUGGAAAUUGGCACCUGGGGAACUCAGGAAAGCUGAAAGCACCUUGAAAUGAGAUGGAAGGACCAGAAGGUUAAGGCUGGUGAAGAGGAGACCUGGAGAGAACGUGGGCACUCCUGCCAGACGCAGCCUUGAGAGAGCAGCUGAGGUGCGACAUGAGCUCCCUGUAACCAGCAUGUUCAAGCAAGAAGCCGGUUGUGUGGACGGCAAAGAGGAAAUGCUGUGGAACGUCAGUUUGGACGAGCUCUGAUGUGACUGGUGAUGCUGCCAAGACCAUGUCUCCCUUCUUGGGCACGUCGAUUUAUUGAGAAAAACCAUUCACUGUCACCUACUGCUUCUUACCAGGCUCUGUGAUGGGGGAGAAGGAGCAGUUGGAGAAAAUGUCAGAAUCUGCAGCAGAAGGUGAAAUCAUUGACCCAGAUGGAGAGUACAGGGAGGGGAGGAAAGAGGUGCAGAGGAUUUGAACAGAAUCAGAGUCCUCCUCUGUGCAGGGAGAAAGGCUUCAGUGGGUCUCCCCUCCCUGCUAGGGAUCCUCCUUGCCAGCCCUGGGCUGGGCGCUGGCAGGCCCAUUCCCAGGUCUCCCGCCGAGGGCAGGAGAGGAGCCAGGCCUCAGGAGAGAAGUGCUUACUGAGUAACUUACCAAGAGCGAUAGGCUUCCCACUGAGCCAGACGGGAUCCCCAGGAGGGGAGUCAGAGGCGGGCCUGGCAUGCAUGCACAGAGAGAGUGUGCCCACUUGGGGAGUGUGAAGGGCCUUGCUGUGGGACCCGAGAGGAUGAGCAGAGUCAAGUGGCAGGUGGGACACACAGUCUGCAGUCACUUCUUAAAAGGCCCUGGGUGGUGUGUCCUUCAGUGAUGACCAUUGUCCACGAUAGUGAGUUCCAGAGGGUCGAUUGGGACAGUUGGAUAGCCAAGGACCAGAGUCAGGAGGCAAGGCUGAUGAGCAAGAGGCUGUUGCCAUUGGCCAGGCGAGGCGUGAGGGAGGCUGAUGGAGCGCAGCAGCAGAGGGAUGGACAGGCAGGAAUGGCAUCUCCUCACAGGCCAGGCUCCUCUGCCGGGUUGGGUAGGGACGGGAAGAUGAUGGCCCCCAACCCUGGGCCAAGGAACAAUAGCACCCAUCCGGGGGCGGGGGACCUGCUGGAGUACUUCUCCUGGACCACUGCCCAGUGGGCAAUAGAGGGAACAAUGGUGUUUCUGACCAGGACGGGGGAAGGCAGGGGAAUGGAGGAAGAUACUGACAGGGUACAGAGGAGGUAGAAUGGAGCGAGGGCCAUCUCCACCGGGCUAGGAAAUGGGGCUUUGGUGGGCCACACUCCAUUGUGCUGGAGCGCUCUGGCAUCUCCAUUGGCAGUGGGGAGGGGCUUGUGACCUAUCAGCAUCUUCACCCUUUCUGAGUUUCCGCCGGGCUGGGCUCUCCAGCCAGGAGUCACAGGUACCGGGUGGUUGUUCAUGCUGAGGCCUUUUGCUUGGCAAAAAGUUAAUCCAUUUGUGUUCAUUUUUAACCUAAGCAAGGGUUGGAGCUUGUUGGAUUCAGCAUCUGUGGAACACAGUCUGUAGCCCAUGGGAAGACGUGGACAUUCUUUCCCAAGUUCUUGAAGGACGGAAAGGACCAUGAACUUGUGAGGUGACCGGAGGAUUGGUUUUGGGUGUCAGUUUUGUGUCUGUCCCAGUGCUGCCACUUUUGCUUUGAAAUGGAUGGGGAGAGCUGAAGGCCAGCAUGGGUUUCUGCACCUGUUUCCUACAGCUCUGCUGGGGACUGUGGCUCAGGUGGCAGCUGUGGACACGGAUCCUGUCAGCCUUUGGGUGGCCAGAGCUCCAAGGCCAGGUGUCUCUUAGCUGCAAGCAGCCUUCACUGUUAAUCAACAGGCUACACAAAUCUCACCUCUAAAGAGGUGAAAUGUGAAAAUAUAUGGGAAGCACUGCCUUAGCCCUGUGUCCACAAAUCCUUUCUGUAAAGGGCCAGAUAGCAUUUCAGGCUUUAUGGACCAUGUGGUCUCUGCCACAACUGCUCAGCUCUGCCACUGUAGCACAAAAGCAGCCAGAGACAGUGCGUAAAUAGAUAGCAUGGCUGUGUUCUGAUGAAGCUUCACUUAAAAAUACACAGGGCUGUAGUUUGCCAACCCCUGCAAAGUAGGGAGUAUUUUGCCAAAGUUGGCUGUAUUUCACCAACCCCUUAGACUAUAGAGAUGACUUACCCUUUGGCUUAAUCAUGACUGGAAACUUCCUUCCCAUCCACUGCCUGGAACCAUCCACCUCCCCACAAAGGCUUCCUGAGCAUCUCCUCCGUGUGAGCACUGGCUCAAUGCACAGGACGAUGUAGUUCCUGCCCAUAUGGAACUUAGGUUUUGAGUGACACGUGGGACAUUGAAAGAGGAGAGCAGGUGGCUAAAGAGCAUCAUACAGAACAGGGCUCAGGGAAGUCCCAGGUGGUAGAAUCUCAAAGAGAAGGGCUGAGGGUGAAUCAGGAAAGCCCUGAAGGCAGGCAGCUCUGGAGUCGGGUUUAGACGAGGAGGCUGCAGUUCUCCAGGAAGGGAAACAGGACCAGAUAACGGAUGAGAUUGUGUCAAACAAUGAGGAGGCCUGCAUAGUCACACAGGCGCAUGGGGUCUGCUCGUAAAGGACCAGGAGGGCCAGGCUCAGGAGUGUGGACUGGAUUCUCUGGGCAGUAGGGAGCCAUUGGACAGCUGUGCUCAGGAGGGUCAUGUGAUCACAAAUGCUUAUUAGAAAUGUCACUGGCUAUGGAGGACCAUGUCUGUGGUUAUAAGUUACGCCUUUCCGUUUAGUCUGGACUUCUUGGUCAAGGUACUUUUGGUAUUAGAGUGGGGAAGAGAGGCCCAGAGAGUUGGACAGGUUUUCUGACCAUUGGCUUAUAGUCAGUGAGCACCCCACCUUUAUUUUGACAUGACAGAGCUUUACAGAAUCUUCCUUCUUCAGGCGUUUUCUUUCCUGCUAUCCUAAAGAUUCACGUACAAGGGCAGGAUAAAUGAAACAUUCUGUCUCCAAUCUAAGUUCGGCUUGGGGCCUCAGAAUAUGAAGGUAAAGGGGCGGGGACGGACUGACUGCCCCUUGCUUCAGAAUCAAGUCACAUGGCGGGAACGCUCUAUGGAGCAGAUUGCUUCCUUUGUACAUGCCCUAGGCCCGUGUUCAGCAGGCCUCAGAGAAGCAGAGGUGCUGGCCUCUCGUCUCCAGAGGCUGCCAGCUACUAAGGGAGGUGGAAGCAACUACCCCUGGGGGUGGACUGCUCUGGGCCGGGCCCGACGUCAGGCGUAGGGGACUGAGGUGAAUCAGACAUGGUGGCUGCAUUGAGGAAUGCUCAGUGUAGUUGGGGUGAUGAAAAAACCCACGGCUGUUUGUAGCGCUUUCUGCUGAGCAUGGUCUUUCCUCUCAGAGGGGUUUCUAGGCACGUUGAAGGGAGCUGCCAUUCAGAGCAUCGGAGAGGUGCCAGGGACGUGAGCUGCUGCCAGUUUGACAUGAACAGAAGGUGGGAGUAGCUAGUGUUGCUGUGCGUUGAUAGGAGCACAGUGUCCGCUGUGAAGGGGCGGGUAGGGCUGGAGAAAGAUGGCCUAAUACAAGCGCCUCCACAGGUGCUGAUUCAGUGAAGCCCCAACAGCCCCGCGGGGUAGGUGAGGAUCACAUGCAGCUUGGAGAAGAGAAGGCACUUGCCCCUCUGCCUGAGCUGGGAGGUGGUGGCCAGCUGCACACAGGGCUGUCCCAGGAUGCUGACGAGGCGGGACCAGCCACAGGCCGGCAGCGCUGCACUGUGACCCUUUCACAGGGCCCAGCCUUGUUUCUGGCCUUCCGGGACUGAGUCAGGAGGUGAGGGCUAUGUUGCUGCCCCAGCACAGUCGGGCCAGGUGUGGGGAAAGGCAGGAGGGAGGUGUGCUGUGCUCUGAGCAGCCUGGCAGGCCCUGGAGAGGCAGGAAGCCACUGCAAACUUCAGAAACUGGGUGCUGCUUCCUCUCAGUGAAGUUGUGUUUUGCUACUCUCUGAUAAUCAGGUCAGGGAUACAGAAGGAAGAGUUGCCCCUGGGUGGCUGCUGUCUUUAGACUUGUCGGGCUCCCUCUGGUACAGACGUGCCUCUCGGAUUUUGCUGCCUGGUCUUCUCUCUUAUGGACAUGGAGUGGCUCUCAGGCUCUUAUGGUACAGCUCUAAGAAGGAACACUUCUUGCAUUGUCUAGUGAAGUUUCUGGGUUUAUGGAAGGGAAACUGACAAACUGGAGCCGGCACAGAUGGACACUGGGUAAAGAGAAUGCAGCCUGUCCCUGGCUGCAGUGCCAGGUGUGGCCUUUCCUGUGACAGCAAGUCACGUGCUGUGGCUCCAGCUUCAUAGGAAGGCUCUUGUCUGUCAGGCAGUGGAGUUACUUACAGACAAGAGCCUUGCUCAGGCCAGCCCUGCCCCUGCCUACAGGCACAGGUGCUUUGCCAUCUGUCCCGUUUUCCUGCUUAGGGAACCAAGAUGGUCAGAAAGUUUCUUGACUCUAACCUAAAUAUUUCUGCCGCUUUUGCGAGUCAGACUCUUUUUCUUUUCAUUGUUCAUGGAAAUGGAUCAAGGAGUAGGAGUUUUAGAUAGCUAGGGAGGUGGUGAGAAGUUCCGUCUCCACCUGUAAUUUACAAGUCGAGUCUUAGGUUUCCAGCCUCUUUCCUCUGUUCUGGGUAUCUCGUGCUCUCCACCCUUUAGGGAUUUUGGUGUGGUGGGUCAGUGGCAAGACACUCGAUCCAGACACACGCAUUUCCGAGGCACUUCCAUGUCACUUACCAAGCCUCCUUGUGUGCGGAUAUCACUUCACUGGCUCCCUCAGGCUGCAGCCCUGACCCCCAAGGUAGUGAUGGCAACUGGUGCAUGAGGUUUGAUUUGGAAGUAGCCAGGCAAGCCCUGGUUGCAAAAAAUACCUCUUCUAUUCCGACAGCAGGCCAGAGGCCGCUGCCAUUAGACGCAUCCCUCUACUUACCCCCGAUCACUUUUCAUGGUCAGGCCGGCCUUGCACAAGCAGGUUCUGUUCACUCCGCACCCCCAUUUCUUAGAUGGGGUACUGAGCACUGCUUUUCCCUGAGCUCACUUCAUGUGGCAGCUUCUCAGGGAUGGGACCUACCAUGGCUGCGGGAGAUGCUUUGCUACUACUUACUACCUUUCCGAGGGAGGAGGGCUCAUUUUUAGAAAUGUUACUGGGGAGCCAAAUUGUAGGCAUCCGACCAGAGGGCCUCGCUCUCUCCAUCUCCCAGGAACCAAGGGUAGCUCUGGCUCUCUGAGGAGCUGUCUCCAGCCUCCAGGUGGGCGUCCUUUCCAGCAUACCAGGGCUUAUGGAGGCAAAAUGAAAGCUGGUCCACGUGGGAACUCCCUACUGUUGUCCUUUCCUUGGGCAGACACCAUAUACUUUUUAGCUCCUAGCAGUGUUUAUCCCGUUUUCCCCAAAGCAUCCUUGGACUCAGGCCUUUCAUCCUGGACCCAUCUGUCUGGCCUGUUGUGCUGAGCCUUUGGUCUAAGUGGUUGGUUGGUCCCAGCCACUUCUUCAAAAGAAGGUUUCCUGAGGUAACCAUCAAUUAGGGCAAUCGUACUUCCAGGAACAGUGAGGCUGAUGGGCCUGUUCCCAAGGGUACUUUGGCAGGGGGUGCUGGGGAAGGGGCUGGCCUAGGGCCAGGUUCAUCAUACCAUUAGCCCUACAGCCCCAUGCCUUUGUGUCCUGGUUUAGCCGCCGUGUAGUGGUCCUGCAGGAGUGGAGCCUGUAGGACUUGCUUCUCAGCGGCUCCAAGCAGAACUCUGUCUGGGAAGGUGGGAGGUGCAGCCAGUCUAGACCUGAAGCCCUCACACUAAGGACUAAGGUAGGCCUGCUCAGCCUUAGCCCUUCGUCAGCCCCAAGGGUUGGGGAGGCAGGAGGAGGCUGAGCGUAGUCGUGGAUAGAAACCUUUCCCUACCGCACGGUUACACACAUGGCAUGGGACUCCUGGCUGUGGCUCACUCGGGUCUACUGAAGACCAAGUUAGUUUUUAGAAAUCUAUUUAAAAUAUCUAUCAUGUAUCUAUUUACUGUGUUUUUCUGAAUAUGCAAGUGUAAAUAGUAUAAUUUGCAGUGCAAAAUCCUUGGCAAUAACUUUGUGUAUUAUGUUUAAAAACACUGGAAACCGCGACCACCAUGGACUGCCCUUCCCCUCUGAGGCAAUUAUUACAUGUAGGACUCUGAACUUUAAACCUUCAGCGUGACUGAAGCAGCAGCCUGCACAUGUGGAUGGUCAUCAGUGCCUCGCCCAGAGAUGCCUGGCCUUCAUCCAAAGGGACCCUGCUGCCACAAGUCCUCCAGGCAGCACCCGCGCACUGUGGCUCCUUCGCACUGAGUAUGUUGGACUCUGCCAUAGACUGACCCUCUUGUCUGGCUGCUGCAGUUUGUCUGUAAUGCCCUGACAUGUUGCAUUCUCCCCAUUUGGAUAAAUAAAAACAAAUGCUUCUGUCACACACA